GACAAGCGGAGGAGCAUGUGGUUUAAUUCGAUGAUACGCGAGGAACCUUACCUGGGCUCGAACGUAAGAUGACUGUAGGUGAAAGCUUACAUCUCUUCGGAGCAUUUUACGAGGUGCUGCAUGGUUGUCGUCAGCUCGUGCCGUGAGGUGUCGGGUUAAGUCCCAUAACGAGCGCAACCCCUACCUUUAGUUGCCAUCAGGUUAAGCUGGGGACUCUAAAGGAACUGCCUACGCAAGUAGUGAGGAAGGCGGGGAUGACGUCAAAUCAGCACGGCCCUUACGUCCAGGGCUACACACGUGCUACAAUGGCCGAUACAGAGGGCAGCUACCUGGUGACAGGAUGCAAAUCUCCAAAGUCGGUCUCAGUUCGGAUCGGAGUCUGCAACCCGACUCCGUGAAGUUGGAUUCGCUAGUAAUCGCGCAUCAGCCAUGGCGCGGUGAAUACGUUCCCGGGCCUU
Molecule: ribosomal RNA, 458 nt
Filed under: uncultured Sphingobacteriales bacterium
Lineage: Bacteria; Pseudomonadati; Bacteroidota; Sphingobacteriia; Sphingobacteriales
Description: bacterial SSU rRNA
Rfam family: Bacterial small subunit ribosomal RNA
Source: RNAcentral